This 385-nucleotide ribosomal RNA is filed under the name Apteryx haastii (Great spotted kiwi). Its description in RNAcentral is "partial 12S ribosomal RNA". It matches the Rfam family "Bacterial small subunit ribosomal RNA", at positions 794 to 1380 of the family's 1533-position model. Lineage: Eukaryota; Metazoa; Chordata; Aves; Apterygiformes; Apterygidae. The record is from RNAcentral.
GCUUAGCCCUAAAUCCUGGUACUUACGUUACCUAAGUACCCGCCCGAGAACUACGAGCACAAACGCUUAAAACUCUAAGGACUUGGCGGUGCCCUAAACCCACCUAGAGGAGCCUGUUCUAUAAUCGAUAACCCACGAUACACCCAACCAUCUCUUGCCAACACAGCCUAUAUACCGCCGUCGCCAGCUCGCCUAAAAUGAGAGAACAGCGAACACAACAGCUAUCCCAGCUAACAAGACAGGUCAAGGUAUAGCCUAUGAGAUGGAAGAAAUGGGCUACAUUUUCUAAAAUAGAAUACUACGAAAAAGGGUGUGAAAUCCCCUUAGAAGGCGGAUUUAGCAGUAAAACAGAAUAAGAGAGUCUAUUUUAAGCUGGCCCUAGGGC